Molecule: long non-coding RNA, 3392 nt
Filed under: Nicotiana benthamiana
Lineage: Eukaryota; Viridiplantae; Streptophyta; Magnoliopsida; Solanales; Solanaceae
Description: long non-coding RNA (NBEN_LNC011405)
Source: RNAcentral
GGAUGAUUAGCAUUGAGUUCUCUCUUUUAAAUACUUCAUUUCUUUAAUUCUAAGUGGAUUUUGAUGGUGUCAUUUACACUUCUUCCUACAUAGUAUGCUAAUUCUUCUUCCUAUUUCUUCCUUUAGUUCUUGUUGUUAAUCUUUUGCGGUUUUGUCCUUGUUAUAUUUUGUUGUUAUUAAUUUCUAAGAUUAGUCGUCUAAUAAAGAUAUUUUCAUUGAUGUUGUUAAUGGCAGAAACGAAGAAAUCUAAGAACAACCUGCCUUGGAAACUCAACAAGAAAAGCAAAGACGCUGAAGAGAUCUUCAAGAGGAAGAAUGUGAAAUUAAACAUCCAGGUCAUCAAAAGAAAAAGAAAUAAGAAAAAUGAUAAAACUACUCCUUCCUGAUCUGCACCUAUAACGAAGAAGAAAAUAAAAUGGAUGAUCAUUCUGCUGAUGAGGAUGCUCCAUUUUAUAGAUGAUAGUGCGCUUGUAAUUAACGAAGAUGAGUUCUAAAAACCACUUAAUCGUUUCUCAUAAUCUUCAAUAUGAAUAAUUCUAGACUAAAAAGAUAAAUUAAAAAUAGGUUUCUAAAAUUUUAUGGUCAUGACUUCUUUUACUUCACUCUUUCUGAAAUGUAAAAACAGUGGUUUCUAGAAUCUUAUGCUCAUGACUUCUUUUACUUCACUCUUUCUGAAUAUCAUAUAUUUUCUAUUAUCUUAUGUAUUUUUUAUAUUUAUCCUAGUGCCCAUUUGGAUAUAUCGGAACCAUACUUCUGCAUAGCAUCCUUUGCCUGAAAUAUCAAAUAAUUAUGAUUUUGUAACGAUUCGACUGGUAGUUUCAUGAGUUACUGCUAUGUGUCCCCCGUUUAUUCCUUUUAUUGCUUUUUUUAUCCAUAUUAUGAGCUAUCGCAUUGGUUGGGUCAUGUUCAGAAAGGUUUUAGUAAUGUUUGAGACACUUAGUCUCUUUUGAGGGAGCUUAAGUUGGAAAACUUAACCAGAUGUUGACUUAUGUGUUAAAGGGCUCAGAUGUUAGUUCUGAUGGUUCAGAUAGAUUCAGGAGAUGAUAUGGGACUAAGGAUAGUCAUCAUAAUGUGUUUUGGAGGUAUGAAGUAGAUUUAGGCUUGAAUUGGCGAAAUUGAAUUUUUGGCGUUUUCCAAUUAAUAGGUGAGAUUUUGAUUUAGAGGUAGGAAUGAAAUUCCGAGAAUUGCAAUAGUUUUGUUGUGUCAUUUGAAAUGUGUGUGCAAGUUUUCAAGUCAUUCGGACGUGGUUUGGUUGGAUUUUUUUACCAAAAGCGUAAUGUAGAAGAUUUUGAAAUUCUUAAGCUUGAAUCCAAUGUGAAUUUGGUGUUUUGAUGUUUUGACCGUUUCGAAGGUUGAAACAAGUUUGAAUGAUGUUAUAGGAUAUACUAGCAUAUUUGGUUGAGGUUUUGGGGGCCUCGGGUGAGUUUCGUGUGGUUAAAUGGACCAUUUCAAUUUGUGAAAAGUUGUAGAAAAAAAUCUCUGUAGUGUUGCAGACAGCAAAGCUUCGCGUUCGCGAAGGGCUAAAUUGUGAGGCUAAAGGUUUGGCCUUCUCGUUAGUGAAGGAGGUCUCGCGUUCGCGAAGGGCAGGGGUCUCUGAGCAUCGUGUUCGUGAGGUAGUAGACGCGUUCGCAAUAGUUUGAGCUGCGCAGUUAUCGCGUUCGCCGGGGGGGUGGUCGCGUUUGGAAUUUGUGGUCACGUCAGAUUGUGCUUCGCGAACGCAAGGCUUUGGCCGCGUUCUCGAAGAAGAAUUUAAAUGAAUGCGCAUAAUGAUUUAAAAGGGAUAUUCUUCGAUUUUGAGUCGAAGUUCCUCCAUUUUUGGGUGAUUUUGAAAUUCUUUUUAAGGGAAUUAAAGAGGGAAUCAAGGAGCACACUUGGAGGUAAGAUUUAUGGACUUAAUACUCGAUCCUAAUGUGAUCUCUACCUGAUUAAUCAUGGAAUUUAAGCUUAAUAUUGAAGAACUAGGACUUGUAAUUGGAGACCUUGAAUUUGGGAUUUGAGGGUUCGUUUGUUGUUAGAUUGUGAUGCUUUUGAUAUGAAUGAACUCGAGAAGUGAUCAGGAGUCUAUUGAUGCAAUUUUUAUCGGAAUCUGAGACGUGAGCCGGGGAUAGGGUUAUGCGAAUUUCGGAAUUUGUAUUGUUAUUUAAUUUUUUUCGAGCGGACUUUGUUUCCUUGGCAUAUUUUGAUGGUUUUUCACCGAUUAUGGUUAUAUUUAAAGCAUUCGAAAGCCGAUUUGAGAGGCAAAGGCAUAGCGGUCUAGAGUUUGGACCGGAUAGAGGUGAGUAAUAAUUUUAAAUGUUAUCGUGAGGGUAUAAAACCCUGAAUUUCACAUCGUUGUGUUAUAUUGAGGUGCACACGCUAGAUGAUGAGCGUGGUGUCGUGCACUAUUGGGGAUUGGGACUUAGUACAUCCCAAAUGACUAUUUUACUGUGUAUUUAAUUGAAAACUAUUUGCUAUCAUCAUGUUUUCGGCUGAAUGUCAUAUUUGGGCAUCGUGCUAACUAUUUGAACCCUUAGGAGAUUUUUACUGAUAUUCCCUCACUGUUUUACUUUAUACUCGUACUUUAUCAUGCUAUAUUCUACUGUUUUAUAACUCAGCCAUGUUUACUCUGUUUUAAUACUUAAAAUGAUAUUUUAAACAAUAUUUUGGGUUGAGCAUCAUGUUUUACUAUGCCCAAGUGACUUAUAAGAUUCUGACUGAGUAAGGCCAAGGGCCUAUGUUUUGAGGAAACAUUGAUUAUGAUUAUGAGGCCGAUGGCCUGAGAAUUGUAUGCUACGAGAUGGCUUUAUACUGCGCUUGGGCUGUAACGGACCCCUCUAGGAGUCUGCACACCUCCGGUGAGCGCGGGUACCCAUUAUGAUAUGAGAUAAAGCCCGAGCGACUGUUGUUCUAUGAUAUUGCCCAAGGGAUAGAUUUUGUUGACAUUGUGCCCGAGGGACAGUUCUUUAUGUGUUUAUCUUUCUUAGUUGCCUGUUUACUUGCUUACUUGUUAAAAGGGCAUUUUAAGGAUAUUAAACUGAACUAAAGUGACUCCAUAUAUUUUUACUGCUUCAUUGUUUCUACUGGAUUUUAUUGCUUCCUUGUAGCAUAUUGUUAUGACUUUACGUGAUUUUUUGCUACUCAGUCUGCAUUUAUUAAUAUUAUUCACUGAGUUUGAGUACUCACUUUACUCUCUACACCCUGUAUGCAGAUUCAAGAGCUUUAGGUCCUGCCAAUGAGAGUUGAUUGUGCAGCAGGCUAUUCGGAGUCCACUAAGUAGCUGCUACGUGUUCGCAGCCCAAUAUUUCUCCCUCCUAUUUUAUUUCCCUUGUUCUAGUUAUGUAAUAAAUUGUAUAAACUCUUUCAUACUCUUAGACUAUGUUAUAUCCUCAUGCAUGGUGACACCCCGAUGUCGG